UCAGGGGUCCUCUCACCUACUAACAGUUAACACUCUGCUUGCUGAUAUGGAGGAUAAGAAGUGCUUGCUGCUGACUGUAUGCCAGUCCAGGCCUGGUAGCCAGCAGCAGUCAUCAUUGGAAAGCACCAACAGUGGAGUCAGCCACAACCAAAUCCCAUAUAUACAAUGCUCUGGUUGCUUGGUUUCUGUCUUUGGUUGGAGCACCAGGCCCUCAAAGUGGUGAUGACAGGGCUGCUGUACCUUUUUGGGUGGCUGGCCUACAGCAGCUGUGGACAGAGGAUGGACUGGCUCUACACAUCUGUACUGUGUCCCACGGAGAGAGCCUACAACUUUUCCGAAAACCCCGGAAACGGGGUGUGGAUAAGGGUCAUAGUGUGUUCCAGCAGCGUGUCUGCAGGUUCCUCUCUCAGACCUUCCUCAGAGCCAUCACCCAUUGGUUGCCCCAGCUCAUGA
RNAcentral lists this long non-coding RNA (453 nucleotides) under Salmo trutta (river trout). RNAcentral describes it as "lncRNA (ENSSTUG00000012076.1)". The record is from RNAcentral. Lineage: Eukaryota; Metazoa; Chordata; Actinopteri; Salmoniformes; Salmonidae.